AUUGAACGCUGGCGGCAUGCUUUACACAUGCAAGUCGAACGGCAGCGCGGGCUUCGGCCUGGCGGCGAGUGGCGAACGGGUGAGUAAUGCAUCGGAACGUGCCCAGUAGUUGGGGAUAGCCCGGCGAAAUCCGGAUUAAUACCGCAUACGACCUGAGGGUGAAAGCGGGGGACCGAAAGGCCUCGCGCCAUUGGAGCGGCCGAUGUCGGAUUAGCUAGUUGGUGGGGUAAAGGCUUACCAAGGCGACGAUCCGUAGCUGGUCUGAGAGGACGACCAGCCACACUGGGACUGAGACACGGCCCAGACUCCUACGGGAGGCAGCAGUGGGGAAUUUUGGACAAUGGGGGCAACCCUGAUCCAGCCAUGCCGCGUGCGGGAAGAAGGCCUUCGGGUUGUAAACCGCUUUUGUUCGGGAAGAAAUCCUCUGGGCUAAUACCCCGGGGGGAUGACGGUACCGGAAGAAUAAGCACCGGCUAACUACGUG
This 484-nucleotide ribosomal RNA is filed under the name uncultured bacterium. Its description in RNAcentral is "partial 16S ribosomal RNA". It matches the Rfam family "Bacterial small subunit ribosomal RNA", at positions 28 to 507 of the family's 1533-position model. The record is from RNAcentral.